RNAcentral lists this ribosomal RNA (575 nucleotides) under Mrakia sp. RNAcentral describes it as "partial large subunit ribosomal RNA". It matches the Rfam family "Eukaryotic large subunit ribosomal RNA", at positions 99 to 657 of the family's 3401-position model. Lineage: Eukaryota; Fungi; Basidiomycota; Tremellomycetes; Cystofilobasidiales; Mrakiaceae. The record is from RNAcentral.
CGGGAUGAGCUCAAAUUUAAAAUCUGGCGGCCUCAGGUCGUCCGAGUUGUAGUCUAGAGAAUCGUUUUCCGCGUUGGCCUGUGUACAAGUCCCUUGGAACAGGGCGUCAUAGAGGGUGAGAAUCCCGUCCUUGACACAGAUUACCAAUGCUUUGUGAUGCGAUCUCGAAGAGUCGAGUUGUUUGGGAAUGCAGCUCAAAAUGGGUGGUAAAUUCCAUCUAAAGCUAAAUAUUGGCGAGAGACCGAUAGCGAACAAGUACCGUGAGGGAAAGAUGAAAAGCACUUUGGAAAGAGAGUUAAACAGUACGUGAAAUUGUUAAAAGGGAAACGAUUGAAGUCAGUCAUGCUUUCCGAGACUCAGCCGAUUCUGUCGGUGUACUUCUCGGUUGGCAGGCCAGCAUCAGUUUCGAUCUGUGGAAAAGGUUGGAGGGAACGUGGCAUUUUCGGAUGUGUUAUAGCCCUCUUUCGAAUACAUAGAGCGGGACUGAGGAACGCAGCGCGCCUUUUAUUAGGUUGGCCUUCGGGUACAUACGCGCUUAGGAUGCUGGCAUAAUGGCUUUAAACGACCCGUCUUGA